RNAcentral lists this transfer RNA (72 nucleotides) under Paramuricea clavata. It matches the Rfam family "tRNA". From Rfam's summary of the family: Transfer RNA (tRNA) molecules are approximately 80 nucleotides in length. Their secondary structure includes four short double-helical elements and three loops (D, anti-codon, and T loops). Further hydrogen bonds mediate the characteristic L-shaped molecular structure. tRNAs have two regions of fundamental functional importance: the anti-codon, which is responsible for specific mRNA codon recognition, and the 3' end, to which the tRNAs corresponding amino acid is attached (by aminoacyl-tRNA synthetases). tRNAs cope with the degeneracy of the genetic code in two manners: having more than one tRNA (with a specific anti-codon) for a particular amino acid; and 'wobble' base-pairing, i.e. permitting non-standard base-pairing at the 3rd anti-codon position. Lineage: Eukaryota; Metazoa; Cnidaria; Anthozoa; Malacalcyonacea; Plexauridae. The record is from Rfam by way of RNAcentral.
GCCGUGAUAGUAUAGUGGUCAGUACAUUGCGUUGUGGCCGCAAUAACCCAGGUUCAAAUCCUGGUCACGGCA